CCCCUCCCCUCCCUCCCUUCUCCUGCGCGGCCUCCGCCGAGCUCGGCCGGCCCGCGCGCCCCGUCCUCGAGCUCGCUCCCCUCUACCUGCCCUGCGGCUCCGCAGUCCCCGGGGCUCCGCGUGCACGCGGGCCCCUGGGCAGCCCCGUCGCCUUGCUCCAACUCACACUUUCCCCAGGUCUGGCCCCAGCCCUCGCCCCGCAGCCAAGCUCCUCAAAGCCUCCAGAUCCCCAAACUUUUAUUGGAAUUACAGACCAUAAGUCUGUCCUCAGCGCCUGUGCCCUCCAGGCCCCCCACCCGGCCGGCCGCCCCCUCCGGACCUGGAGCGGCUCGGCUGCUCCCUCCUGCCUCACCCCUCCGCCCGAGCCCCCCGAGCCUCCUGCAGGAAGCAAACCAGGAAGUUGGGGUUACCGUUGCGGCAGCGGCAGCUCCACGUGGCUGAUUUAUAGCUGGCAGGAUUUUUUUUUUUUUUUAUUGAUUGUUCUUGCUUUCUCACACAGCUCCUUAAGGUGGUAUAUUUGUUACCGGAAGGCCCAGGUGAGAUGUGCAAAUAGCAAUGGACUGGAGGAGCUCACUUGCAAAGCCAGUAUUUCUUUCUCCCCAGCUAGAGAGACGAAAGCCAGUCUGUCUUAGGCUAAUAAGCAGUACCAGCCGUGUUCACGGGCUGUAAGUUUCAAUUCGGAGGACCAAGGAUUUCGGGUUUUUAAAACAGUAUUGCAUACACCUGGCCUCCCUCAGACCCUGAUUUUUGCCAGUUGAUUUGCUUUUCUAACGCCUUUUCUGCCUGUGUUACUUAAAUUAUACAGGAAAGGACAUUGGCAAAUGUGGACUUUAACCAAGUACCCCACCCUAAGGAAAUAACCUUUGUACCCACAUCUCCCAGUGAAGAUGUCAAUCCCUUUAUAUCGCGGAGUGUAAUUAUGUAAUUACAUCAGCAGCGUGUCAUGCCCUAGGCUGCCUAGUUGAAGGCACUGCUGAAGACCCAGUGAGCAGGUAAAUGUCUGUUGAGUAGCUGCUUGCCUGUUACAAAUGAAGCAGGGCCCCUCGUUCACCGUAAUCUGACGGGAAGAUGGUACAAAACGAAACAAGGCAACUGGACCUGUCUAUUAACAGAUACCAAAUUACUUUUUGCUUAAAAAUAUGAGUGUGUACCAUAUGCCGGACAUUGUACCAGGGAUGCAAGCUGAGGACAUUGUUCUGGCCUCUGAGAAGCUUUCAAACAAGUGGGGACUCCAGAUGGUUCAUGUUGGAAGACAUACUUUCUAAACUCUUCUCAAGUGACAAUAAAAUGGACUAGUUGAUAAACCUUUCUGCAAACAGAUUUUCAAAACUCCUAUCGAUCCACUGUGCUUUCAUGUUAAAGGAAGAAUGGAAACCUCAGCUCUGAAACAAGAUAACUUCAGCUCCAGGGCCGAGGAGGCCAGCCGGCAGCUGGGUCGUUUUGAUAUCAGAAGGAUUUCAAAACCGUCCCCCUGUGAAGGAUGAAUUAUACACCCACACUGGGGCAUCAACAUGGCAGUGCUAAGAAGCCAGACACCGACCGAACUCUGCAGGGCCUGCAGGUCACUCCUGUGACAGAACAGCUUAGUUAUUCUCACUGAAGUGUUGUGCCAAGCCCCAGGGUCUGUGGUUCUACACUGACCCGGUGGUCAGAGCAAGGACAUUUUCUUGUCCCUCCAGACACGGACAAGAGGGGAGACCUGAAAGUACAUACACCUCACAGUUACAUCCGGAUACUUUUAAUAUUCUGAUGGGAAUAAAUUACCCUGAGUCUGCCCACGAUGGUUAUUUUGGCUUUGACAACUGAAGCUCUGUGGAUGGAUCCCAUAAAUCUCUACUUCCAUCAGUGGAGAUCAAAAUAUUCAUGUAAAUUCUCUGCAGAAGUUCAGUUCAAACCUAUUCAGCUCAUUUCUGGCAUUGGAUAAGAACUAAGAUCUUGCUUCUCCGGGCUCUUCCCUCAAUAAAAGUGGAGUAUAAGAGGAAUUUGUGAGCCUCCCAAUCCUUUCCUGGGCAUGGAAGUUUCAGCCUGCAUGAGCCUACCACCAUCUCGCAUGCAGACAGCCCUCUCUCGUGUCGCUGGCAUUCCGCGUGUCUUGGCUGCCACCGUAGCCUCUGUAUCUUGGCACAUCCAGUGACCUGACUCCCGUCUUUUCUUCGUGCUGGAGAGAAUGGGAUGGAGAAACUUCUUUCUUUCUUCCCUUUAGCCUCUUCAACAGGAAAACAUCAGAUGACAUGUAGUGUGCAAAUUUUGUCGAAAAACAGCAACAGUCAUAACAGGAAAAUCAACAUGAACAUUUAUUGCUCACCUACUAUAUACACCAUUAACUAUGCUGAGUGCUUUACUGCAUCUGAACAACUCUACGAAUACGCAUUAUUAUGGUGCCUAUUUAUAGUGUGAAGUAUUUUUCCAUACGUGGAGUCUCUGAGGCAUCUUGAACCUUCCUUUCCCGCAAUCGGAUGAGUUCCCCUCGAGGAUCUUUGAAGAACUCACUUCAGACUCUUCUGCUUAGAGGAAAUUCCUUUUUAGCCUCAGAAGAUAGCUGGCUGUAUUAAAGAAGUGCUGCUAUGACUGGAAUGUUUGAAGACUGUUCCAGAAAUUGUGGCUUCGUUUUCGUUUUAAUUUUAGUCCCUGAAUUGUGUAUUUAAUAUAGACCAAUUUGCAGGAAUAGCAGAUCUCCCAGCUGGUUUCCGCGGCGGGCGGCAGCAUCCUGUCUGCUGCUCUCCGAGCCCAGCAGCUGUGCCUCGAAUCUGCUCCGCAGACAGCUGCCUUGCACUGGGCCCUGCCGGAACGCUUUCGUCCUCAGCUGCCACACCUGGGAGCCCGGGAUGUCACUGAACGGACCAGACCACGUGGGGCACACCCCAGAGAAGUCUGCCGUCUCCUUCCUUCACACAUCUGAAACUUACAGACGUUUGCAGAUGAGUUGCCAAAAUUUGAAUGUCUAUAUUGAAUUGUGACAGUAAAGGCAUAUUCCGUGUUUGGAAAGUGUCUUAUUGAAUACUCUGUUACAAGCCAGAGCAUUCUUCUGUAACUCUGUGAGGUCUGGACACUGUUUCCAAGCUUGCAGAGUUGUGGUCAUUAUUAUUACUUUCGUCUUUUUGGAAAAUCAGCUUUGGAAACAGCAGGAUGAGCAACCACGCAGGUUCACGUCCCAGGGAGUGCCUUUCAUGCUCCGCUCUUGUCCCCAGAGUCACAUCUUCUCUGCCUUAUCUUAGCCUUUGCCAAGUCCACACCGACAGAAAACGUGAUAGAAAGUUCCUUCUGCUCCUGUUGGGCAUUAAUGAGUCCAUUCACCGGGUGGUCACUGAGCCCCUCCCCCGUGCCAGGUCCUGACAGUGGUGUCCCUGCCUCUGCUGCCUGGCUGUGGGUGGCAACUUCAGACCAUCUUGGGAGGCGUAUUUUGGGGAAGAUAUGAGGCAACCCACAAUACGUAGUUCUAAGUUCUAUCCCCAUUUUUCAGUGUUUUGAGGAGGAAACCUGUACAGGAUCAUGAAAAAAGUAGCUGCUUUCUUUCCAUGGAGCAUCCUGGAAGGCCGGGUUGUGUGAAUCGUAGUACGUCCAACACUGAGUCAGUACCAGGUGUGCAAAAGAUGCUCCAAAGUGGCUUGAUAAAUGAUUGCAGGAAGGAACAGUCCCGGACAGAUAUAGCUGUGUAAGAAGAUGUUUCCUGGCAUAGCACACCAACUUGGCAUCACCACCGAUCAGCAUGAGUAUGGCUUGAAUUGCAGUAUCAAUAGAGAGAGAAAGAAAGACUGAGUGGUCUUUGAUGCUUUGAACUCUUCUAGGUGAAAGAAAUGAAGAAAGAAGAGAAAUAACGUCUUGGAGGUCUUUAUAUACUAUUUGCUUAAAGAUAGUAUUUAUUUUAGGAACAGCUCUGAGCAUAAUUAGAAGUGUCUUUCUGUUGUGUUUUGAGAAUUUAGAGGAUCUAGCUGUGGCCCUAGAAAAAAGGUUCCAACACCAGCAGUGUCCUGACCUUUGAGAUGAGGUAAUAAUACUCACCUUUCAGAGUUUUGGUAAAGAUUAGACAUGAUAAUCUGGGUAAGGUGCUUAGCACACAGUCUAUGCCUGCCACACGUAGGUACUUCACACAGAGUGGUUAGUAUUGUUGAAGAAACUGAACCAAAGCAAGAGAAUAAUGGUUACCAAAGGAGACAUGAGCCAAGUUUGGGUCAAUCCCAUGUGUGAAUUAUGACGAACAAAGCUUUAAAGAUUGUCUGCAGGCAAAAUCACAUUGAAAAAUAAGCAUGAUUGAGGGUGGAGAAAAACAUUAGUAUUUAUUUGAGCCAUCACUUUUUGUUGAGCACUGUCUAGGUAUAUUAGCUAUCCAGUGCUGCAAAACAAAGUAGCACAAAACUUAGCAUCUUAAAACAACACCGUCU
Long non-coding RNA from Lemur catta (Ring-tailed lemur), 4379 nucleotides. RefSeq lists it as uncharacterized. The transcript is spliced from 9 exons. NCBI's taxonomy places the organism in Eukaryota, Metazoa, Chordata, Mammalia, Primates, Lemuridae. The record is from RefSeq and is a predicted model, not a curated record.